GGGGGGGGGGGGGGGGGGGGGGGGGGGGUGGGGGGCGGGGGGAGAGGCGGGGGGCUUGCUGCUGGGACGUUGGCGGCGGGCGGGUGAGUAGCACGUGGAUAACCUACGUGUAAGACGGGGAUAACUUCGGGGAACCGGAGCUCAUACCGGAUAAUAUAUUGAACCGCAUGGUUCAAUAGUGAAAGACGGUGUUGCUGUCACUUAUAGAUGGAUCCGCGCGGCAUUAGCUAGUUGGUAAGGUAACGGCUUACCAAGGCAACGAUGCGUAGCCGACCUGAGAGGGUGAUCGGCCACCCUGGAACUGAGACACGGUCCAGACUCCUACGGGAGGCAGCAGUAGGGAAUCUUCCGCAAUGGGCGAAAGCCUGACGGAGCAACGCCGCGUGAGUGAUGAAGGUCUUCGGAUCGUAAAACUCUGUUAUUAGGGAAGAACAAAUGUGUAAGUAACUAUGCACGUCUUGACGGUACCUAAUCAGAAAGCCACGGCUAACUACGUG
This 497-nucleotide ribosomal RNA is filed under the name uncultured bacterium. Its description in RNAcentral is "partial 16S ribosomal RNA". It matches the Rfam family "Bacterial small subunit ribosomal RNA", at positions 38 to 507 of the family's 1533-position model. The record is from RNAcentral.